Molecule: non-coding RNA, 2434 nt
Organism: Callithrix jacchus (white-tufted-ear marmoset)
Lineage: Eukaryota; Metazoa; Chordata; Mammalia; Primates; Cebidae
Source: RefSeq, a predicted model, not a curated record
CGGCAACAACAACCCAAAAAAACACUUUUACUUCCGUGAAGAGCGUUGAAGUUCCUUACGCCGGAGGACACUCUCUAGUAUGAAUCCCGGAGAAAUAUUGAACACAAGGCCAUAGGACUAGAUGAAGCCUAGCUCUGUCGUCACCCAGGCUGGAGUUUAAUGGCGCAAUCUUGACUCACUGCAACCUCCACCUCCUGAGUUCAAGCGAUUCUGCUGCCUCAGCCUCCUGAGUAGCUGGGAUUACAGGUGCCCACCAAUACACCUGGCUAAUUUUUGUAUUUUUAGUAGAGAUGGGGUUUCACCAUGUUAGUCAGGCUGGUCUUGAACUCCUGACCUCAGGUGAUCCACCUGCCUCGGCCUCCCAAAGUGCUGGGAUUACAUGCAUGAUCUACCGCGCCAAGCCAAUUUACUCAGGUUUUAGUGUUAAAAUGUAUUUGCAGCAUGAAUGUGAUGUUUCUAUAUAUAUUAGACUCAGCAAAUCAGUGAAACAAGUUUAAUUUUUAAUUUAUUAGAACCCAGUAAAUGAUGUUUUUAAAAGCAAAGUUUCCAUCAAAUUAACACUUAAUUCAGGGCAAAAAUACACUUUAAAAACCUAAAUCUUAAGGCAGAAGUAAAACAUUAUAAAAACAGUAUGUCUACUACAGACUGUAAAAUGUCAGAAUUUUAAGAGAUUCACAUAGUAUUUUAUAGCAGUAAAAUAUUAAUACAGUCAGAAAUAUUAUCAGUUGGUCCAAGAUUUCUGUUUAUAAAAUGUCGAGGCUGCUAAUUGAAGAAAUGUUGCCAUAUAAGUACAGCUACAAUACAACCAACCAAGUGAUUGUUUUUAUGACAAAAGAACAAAGGCAGGUAAUUGCAUGGUUUCCAUUUGUAAAGCUUUUGCAGUAUUAAAUAUAAAGUAUUAAUAGGGAUAUUUUUAGACUCAUCUCCCUACCCUAAUGCCCCCAAAAGUUACAUAACUUCCCUUUAACUCUAUUUUUAAAAUUCUGUGAACCACCAUGCCUAUUCAUUGUAGGCCUGACCCUGUAAAGGCAUGAAUUGUUUACUUUGAUAUGGUAGAAAAACAAUUUUAGUAAACUGCAUCUUUUCCUAGUCAUUAAGCAAUUUUAAACAAAAGUCUUAAGAAUUUUUGCACCUCAACAAGUGAACAACCUGUUUCUCUACCACUGUACAUUUGAAUUUUGACUAGAAUCUGUUAGUAUACAGGGGAAAACAUACUUCAUGUUUAUGUGCAAUUAACAGUAGCCCUUCGGAAAAACAGGGUUAACAAUCUUAAAUUUACAUUUCCCCUUAUGACCAAAACCUUUUGUGUUUUGGGAACAGGAUAAGACUUAAAAGUGCUUUAAAUCAGAAAACAAGAAUUAGGUUGCUUACACAUUCCAUUGAAUAGUGUCAAAAAAGAUAAAGGCAUUUAAAAUAAUUUGUAAGUCCAGCAAAUACAAGCUUGAUGGGUUCUUAACUUACAUAUUAAGUAAUUACCAAGAUUCAUUAUUUUAUAAACUUUUAAGCUACUUUAAUAAAAUGGCUAUAGACCUCACUGUACUUCUAUUUAUCUGUGCAUUAAUAAAAACCUGUUAAAAUUCCUUAUUUAGUACUUCUGAAAAAGUCUAGUCAAAUAAGAUCACUAAAAUUACCAGAAAAGCUUUGAAAUACUGAUUACAGAUUCAUUUCAAAGGAGAUUUAACCCCUUUCAGGAUCUGGUGUUUAAAUCAUUAAUGUCAUCACCAACUUCAACUCUGAAAAUAUAAAAAUUUUAGCCAGUGCGCUAUAGUUAAACAAUACUGGUAUUACUUGAAAAAAUAAAAAUUAAAAAUAUAUUAUCAAUCAUGCAUUCCAUAAUUUCAAGAACUAAGUAAGAUAUAACUCAUAAAUAUUGUUAUGUCUUUACAGGUUAUCUCAAUUUCCAUCAGGCCUCAGCUGAAAUCUUAUCUGCCAAAACACAUCUGCACCCUUGUAAAAUAAAAGGAGUAGGGAGGUGACUUUGUAUACAUACUGUCCAGUGUUUGGCUUCUAGUUUCCCGUCUUGUGUGUAACUAUUCUAGGUAUGACUCCUUGAGCAUGAAAUGAGGGAUAGAUAGAACAGAACAGCUGUUGGGCUAACAAGAAUUAGUGUAUAGGACAUGGUGGCUCAUGCCUGUAAUCCCAGCACUUUGGGAGACCAAGAUGGGAGAAUCACCUGAGGUCAGGAGUUCAAGACCAGCCUGGCCAACACGGUGAAACCUCAUCUCUAUUAAAAAUACAAAAAUUGCCAGGCAUGGUGGUGGGCAUCUGUAAUCCCAUCAGGAUUACAGAGGCUGAGGCAGGAGAAUCGCUUGAACCCAGGAGGUAGAGGUUGCAGUGAGUCUAGAUUGUGCCAUUGCACUCCAGCCUGGGCAACAAGAGCAAAACUCCAUCUCAAAAAAAAAAAAAAAAAAUUAGUGUAUAAAAAGUUUUCUGC